GGCCUAUCAGCUUGUUGGUGAGGUAAUAGCUCACCAAGGCGAUGACGGGUAGCGGGUGUAAGAGCAUGACCCGCCUCACUGGGACUGAGACACUGCCCAGACUCCUACGGGAGGCUGCAGUCAAGAAUCUUCCUCAAUGGACGAAAGUCUGAAGGAGCGACGCCGCGUGUAUGAAGAAGCCCUUCGGGGUGUAAAAUACUUUUAUCAGGGAAGAAUCCAUGACGGUACCUGAUGAAUAAGGGGCUGCUAACCUCGUGCCAGCAGCAGCGGUAAUACGAGGGCCCCAAGCGUUAUCCGGAUUUAUUGGGCGUAAAGCGUCCGUAGGUGGUUUAUCGCAUCUCCUGUUAAAUCCCAAGGCUCAACCUUGGGGCAGCGGGAGAGAUGGAUAAGCUAGAGACCGGAAGAGGCAAACGGAAUUGCUGGUGUAGGGGUUAAAUCCAUUAAUAUCAGCAGGAACACCAAAUGCGAAGGCAGUUUGCUAGGACGGUUCUGACACUAAGGGACGAAAGCGUGGGGAGCGAAUAGGAUUAGAUACCCUAGUAGUCCACGCCGUAAACGAUGGAUACUAAGCAUUGGCAGUAUCGACCCUGCCAGUGCUGUUAAUUUAAGGUAACCCGUUAAGCAUCCCGCCUGGGGAGUACGG
This 643-nucleotide ribosomal RNA is filed under the name uncultured bacterium. RNAcentral's name for it is "bacterial SSU rRNA". It matches the Rfam family "Bacterial small subunit ribosomal RNA", at positions 235 to 885 of the family's 1533-position model. The record is from RNAcentral.